GACGAACGCUGGCGGCGUGCCUAAUACAUGCAAGUCGAGCGAAUGACGAGAAGCUUGCUUCUCUGAUUUAGCGGCGGACGGGUGAGUAACACGUGGGCAACCUGCCCUACAGAUCGGGAUAGCUCAGGGAAACCUGGGCUAAUACCGGAUAAUCCUCCGAAUCACAUGUUUUGAAGUUGAAAGGCGCUUCGGCGUCACUGUAGGAUGGGCCCGCGGUGCAUUAGCUAGUUGGUGGGGUAACGGCCUACCAAGGCAACGAUGCAUAGCCGACCUGAGAGGGUGAUCGGCCACAUUGGGACUGCGACACGGCCCAAACUCCUACGGGAGGCAGCAGUAGGGAAUCUUCCACAAUGGACGAAAGUCUGAUGGAGCAACGCCGCGUGAGUGAUGAAGGUUUUCGGAUCGUAAAACUCUGUUGUAAGGGAAGAACAAGUACGUUAGGAAAUGAACGUACCUUGACGGUACCUUAUUAGAAAGCCACGGCUAACUACGUGCCAGCAGCCGCCGUAA
This 510-nucleotide ribosomal RNA is filed under the name uncultured bacterium. Its description in RNAcentral is "partial 16S ribosomal RNA". It matches the Rfam family "Bacterial small subunit ribosomal RNA", at positions 28 to 523 of the family's 1533-position model. The record is from RNAcentral.